Molecule: non-coding RNA, 7978 nt
Organism: Rattus norvegicus (Norway rat)
Lineage: Eukaryota; Metazoa; Chordata; Mammalia; Rodentia; Muridae
Source: RefSeq, a predicted model, not a curated record
AGAGAGCUGUGAGGUAGUGCGUGCUGCUUCUUUCCCCAGAUACCCGUGGGCCUCAGGCCUGCAUCCAGUGAGCUGGACCAAGAGCAGCCAGGUUGCAAUUCCUGCUGCCAUGGCAGGAUUCUGCAGGAACAUUUCCCUUUGACAACAAGGAACCUGUGUGGAGGAGACCUCUUGGUGAGUCCUCAAGGACUCUAUGUGUCCUAUUCUACAGGGAGAAGCCCUGCCAGGUCUUUGGCAAGGCCAGCUAGUUGUAUGGGGAAGUCUCUGGUCCUGUGGCAGAGGGCGAAGAAUGGCAGAAAGAAUGGCAGCUCCACUGAGAGCAAAGGCUACCCCUUCUAGGCCUGUGACCUCCUAAUUAAUUCAUCUUUUCACCUGAUGCCCUAUUCACAUUUUCGUACUAUCAUACAACUGUGAUCAUGAUGAGCAGCUGGGCUCUUGUUUUCUUAAUCAGUUCUUUGUUGUCACAGACGUUUUUAACUUACUUCAGCCCAUGAGACUUAUUCAUACCUUCUGUAUGCAGUAGGACCCUUGGUUGGCCUGUCAUCUCAAAAAUAGAAGGUUCGGUAAUCCAAAAGAUUGGACUCCAGUUUACCUCAGGCCAGGAAAGAAGUCAGCCACCAUUAGUAAAAGAGCAAGGGAAAAAUUACAUAGGAAAAUCAAGUGGCUUAAUCAGAAGAAAAGAUCCUCAACUUCUAAGGCCCGCACAUCUGCACCCCUCUCUUCUGAGCUUUGUAUAGUGAUGUUGUAUAACUCCAGAUGGUAGUAAAAGGCAGAGUUCUUCCAAGAAAGGUCAGACAUGAUUUUCACUCUUACAUCUCGGAGGUGGGGUGGCAUUAUAGCACACAUUCAUGUUGAAUUAUUAUAACACCUAUGAUAAGAAGACAGAAUCCAUAUAUCACAAUGCCAAAUAUACUCCCUCCUGAACUUAUGGACCCAUUAAAAUUGAGGUUCAACCUGAACUCCGGCCAUUCCACUCCCUUCCCAUCCUCCUGAUUCUUAUGUUUGCUACAAGUAAAAGAUCAUGGUGUAGUCCCCAAUAUUCUCAUGCCUAGACUUGUCUAUUCACGGAGAAUGAUAUUGGAGAAGUGAUGGCUAUAUAGUUACAAUGUAGUAACACAAGGUCCUGGUUGACAUUUGCUCACUGAUGUCCAAUUUAAUUGUCUUGUAAUAUUUGAGAAAGGGUGAUGUCCUACAUAAUAUAUAAAACAGACAGAAAUUUAUUAUUUCAUAUAUGCCCUGUAGUUGAUCCCUAUGUUCCCAAGUAAAAGGAGUUUUUAUUGCAGAAAAAUAGGAUUAUAGACCAUUGAUUUUGUGAAAUACAUGGAUAUAUAAAUGGAAACAAUGUCGGCUUUCAAGGACUGCACAGUAAGCAAAUAUUUCCAGGUUUUAUACACUCAGAGGUAUAGAAGAAAUAUAUUGGCCUCCAGAAAAAGGGAAAAGCUCAGGAAUCGAAAUGUGUGUCACAUGCAUUGUCUCGAGAAGUAGAUUUACUUUUAAGAAAAAUCUCCCUCCUCCUUGGUCCCUAGAGAUUUGGGUGCUAAGAAAAAUCUGUUCUCCAAUUCAGGGUUGUAACAACCCUCCCCAGCAAAAGCAUUGUUGACUUCUAAUGAAGCAGAGAGACAUAUCUAGCUUUGAAAUAGAGGUUGCCAAAUGGUAUUCCCAGUGACACAUGGGAGACUGGAGGAAAGGGUCCCCACAUAAAUUCAUCAGUGUGGGGAGAGCUGGUUAGUAGGUAGGCCAUAGAAUUUUCCAGUGACAUCACCAGUAAGCCGUUCACUGGACACUCUAUUGUAUCUAAGAGAUCCCUAGAAUCUUCUGUGAUGUCACCAGUGUUGUGGUGACACCAACUGCCUUUGGGAUAUUACUUCAGUUCCCUUUGGGUUCACAAGCAGGCAUGUUUCGCCAGCUGCUCAGGCUAUUUCGGAAGGAAAGUGUUGAUCAAGGAGAGACCGCACCAGGUCAGAGAGAAGCUGACCCCCUCUCUAGUGACACAGGAAGGAGGAAAUCAUUCUGGGGAAGUCUUGGUUUUGGUAGGAAGGCAUCAUCCUAAAAUGUCAUCAGUAAGCAAGAGGAAUGUCUAAAGGAACUGGAGGAAUUCAAAUUUGAAAUCCAGAAGUGUCAAUUCGAGAGGGAUGAACUUUAUCAAAUCCUGGAUCUUUAUAUCUAUGAUGAGUGGGACCACAGGCUGCAUGUCGAAUUGCCAGUCCUUGAAUCUGAACAUGAGAUGAGAAUGAUGGCUAUGCAAAUGAUGACCAACUCAAUAAGUGAUGCCAUGGAGAGGUACAAGGAGCUCAUACAAGUGAACAGUUCCUACCGCAUCAGGCAAUCCCAGCUCCUGCGUGAACAAGCUCAAUUGAAGAACAAUAUACAGAUUUUGCUGAAUGAGAAGAGAGAAAUGCUGGUGGAGCAGACUGAACUGCCAGCAUCCUCUGUGGAGGCAAAGAGGCUCUGUGAAGAGGCCGGAAUGAACAUCUGUGACCCCAGAGCCAAGCAACAGCAGGUAGGGUUAUGGCUCAAGGUCAGGUUGUCCUCAGGUCUUACCUUAACCAUAGACAAAACAAUGUAACUGUCUAUUGACUGAUCCAUGUCCUGUCCUAGGUCUCAUCCAAGUGUUCAUUCAUGUGAUGGUUUAUAAGGCUUUCUGUGGAGAUAGCCCCUUUUCAAGAAACUGCAUGUUUGGAAAGCAAAUGCUCCUGCUCUUUGAGAAUCUGCAGUUUAUUAAGGGAGAUAGGUUGAUCACACAGCACAGCACCACAUGCCAUUAUGUAUGGAGGGUGCUAUGUGCGAGCCUCUCUUUAGACUAGAACAGGGCUUUGAGGGAUGAAGCAAAAGCCCGGAGCUCAUUUUCUUUACAGGGAUCGUGUGAGAAUCAAGAAGUAAGUAGUUUUCAAAGAGGAGAGCCUGCUGGAAAUGCCAAAGAAAUGGUUCUCAUUGUCAUUUGUGGUGGCUUUUGUUCUUCCUCCCCUCAUGUCCCUGUAUAUGAAGAUGGUGACUUCAUGCUUCAUAGAUCUUGGGUAACUAUAGAGCCUGUGUAUCAGCAUGUCAGUCCUGUCUUAUUUGAGUGCUCCUGGAGAGUUCAUAACUAGGCCUUACAACCUGAAGCUGGUUAGAAGAGCAAGGAUGUGGAAAAGGUUUCUCAAAGGCUGAGGGGUUGGCAUGAGAGACUUGAGACUUCAAGAACAAACUUAUCUGUAUGUACCCCAAUUCUCACCAAGAAAGGUGCAUUGCUGUGCUGACCUGCAUCUUAGGGAGCAUGUGGGGAGGCCAGUUCAUGACAUGCAGUUUUGUUCCGUCAUUAUCUAACUUCGUUCUUUAAGCCUAGGUCUCUCAACAAACAUGAAGCUUCCUGUUUUGUGCUGGCCAGCAGUCUUUGCAUCAUUCGUCCAGUUCCAAGUGGAGCCCCCUCUCUUAUUUGUCUCAACACAUUCUUAAACCAUCCAGCUAUUUGAAAAAUAAGGAUUAGAUUUCUUCACUUUACCUGAACAGAGUUAUCCCCCGAGAAGAUUCUGGAUUGUCUCAUUGGCUUCACCAUGAUCUUGCAUGGAAUCCUAGAGUACAACCCUCUGCUGACAUUGCUUUGCUGACUAUAUCAUGGGCACUGCAUUCUUUCAGGAUAGAUUCCCUCUCAAUAAUGUACACAGUGCUGCAUUUCAGACAAUUCACUGUAUGUUAUUUAUUUAGCCUUUUUCUGACUGACAUUGAGGUUGUUUUAAUAUCACAGGAACUCUAAUUUGAUGAAAUGUUCCUGGGAACUGACCAUGAGUUACUGUCUUCUCUGAUGCUUCCAAAGUCUUCUAUGAAGGAAACAGGGUAGUUUUAGUGAGGGGCCUAUGAUGAGUCAGCAUAGAGCUUGAUGGAGUCUUUUCCUAGAAAUCUCUCUCUUGGGGAUUUGAUGUUGUGUUGUUUAGGCUAUCUGUGCAGAACAUGUAACUUACUUGUCGGACCAGCAAGUAUCUGCAUAGAAAGGUUUCCUGAAGUGGAAAUGAGUACAGUCCAGGACAGCACAGCCUGCUUGAGUCUAAGAGACUUGUACACAGCAUUUUUCCCACUAAUUCCUCACUCAAGAGAAAAUUUACUGCAUAACAGCAAAGUUUUCAUUUGUGCAUGCGAGUGUGUAUCUGUGUGUCUGUGUUUGUGUGUGUGUGUGUGUGUGUUUGCAGUAGUGAACGUGUGUUUCCCUCUAUUUCCAAGUUUCAUGAGAAAAGUACUCUAAGCGUUCACUUUACAUCCAUGAAACAUGAAAUAGAGCUGCCCAGUCAUUUGGCAUCUCCAUCUAGCUCUGUACAGCAAAAGGACACUUAAAUUACUAAUUUAUUCUGUUUCCAAAAAUUUCAGAACAGAAUUAUCUUGUGAAGUCUGGGGGAGGAGUGGAAAUAUGUUCAAGUGAGUCGUGUUUCACAGGGGUAACAAAUGGUACAGGCCUAGAGCUUGCAGGACCCUUUUUGUUAUGGUGCAGAAGCAGGACAAUAAUAUCCUUUAGAAAUGCAACCCCCAAAGAGAGGACACAAAAACACCUGUAAAGUUAGAUUUUCAAGUGAUUAGGGGCAAAACUACUGAUCUGCAUUGAAAUCCUUUGGAGCACAUCAAAGGAAUGGAGUACUGGGAGGUAAGGGCAAGGCUUCUCUAGAAAAAUCCAUGAGUUUAUUCUGCUUCUCUGUUCUUUGUGAAUUGUGAAAGCCCACUGGAAGGUUGUGUCACUCACUGUGUCUUCUCCAAGGUUGCUUUCCACAUUGCCUGCUACCAUUUCUUUCGAGCUACCUUGGCACACUACAACUUCCCCUGGGAGUUUGGCUUGGAUUUUAUUCAUUGAGAAUUUGAGUUGCUUGGAAUUGUAUCGUCAUCCAGAAAAAGUCCCAUAGCUAUGCUGUGGUGCAAGAACAGGGCAGUUUCAGGAGCCCCUUUAGGUGCACAGAUAAUCCAAAGCGCUCCCCUAUGUUAUCUGUGUAGCAUUCUGCAAGUGCUGUCAAUCAACAUCAUUUUCUCUCAGUUAAUUUCAGCCUCAAUGGGUUAGGAGAAAUGAUGAGCUUCAAAUGGGUCUGACAGUGUAAGAACAGGUAGCCCUAUGAGAAGCCAUGUUCAGAAAGUGGAAGAGAAGUUUUAGUUAACCCAGUGAUUCCACAACAAGGAGUAGGUAUUGCCAUUGCAACUAGGGAGCAUCAAUGUUGUAGUGGUCCCAGAGUAACCUUGAAGGAGAAUCUAUCCAGACGUCCAUCAGCCAAGGAGUAAAAGUGUACCAUACGAUGGAGGCCUUCCAUAGAUUCUGAUUCAGUGUGAGAUAAUCCAUGCAAGCUUUUACUUACUUAUUAAAAUUAUCUGUGGAACAAUCACAUUACGGGGAGAAAAUUUGUUGAUUUGGAUCCUGGUUAUGGAGAUUUCCUAUGAUUCUACCUUUGGGCAUGAAGUCACUCAGGCUAUGGUAAAGACAGCUCCGAUUAGAAGAAGUUGCACACUUUGGGGAAAGUCUGAAAGAGUGAACAAGAACAAGAGUCUAGUCCACCACCAACAUAUGAUCCUUUGCUGAGCAACAAGACAGCUCUACACAGCCUUUGGGACUUGCUAAACCAGAUUGUUAAUGGGGAAAGAACCCUGAGUCUAUGACGGUUUAUGGGAGGACAGCACAUCACUGACUGAGCUGUCUAUAGGCUCUGGCCACUAUGUACAUAUCCCACUCAACAUUUGUUUUUAUGCCUCCAGCGAAUCCUGGGGAAUCUUUACAUUAAGCAUUAAUGUUCAGGUAGGAACGUAGGCUGGAAGAAGCCAUUUGAAUAUCCUUCCCUAUAUAAAUACCCUUCUUGGGUGGAUGACCACCCACCUGGAUUUCAGCCUCAGGCAGUUAAAGAGCUACUCAGAGUAUUGUUCUGGUACAGUUCAUGUGAAUUUUGCCCAUGAAACAAUAUAUAUGAUCCUCUGGAUUUCUUACUAUGUUCUACUCCUUUCUUCCUGUGAUCUCUCCGGAAAGAUCUGAGGACAUUUUCUCUUCUGUCCUCUCACAAAUUGCCUUACACUAGCCAUAGACUUACAGGGGUGCUGUUCUGUUUCUACAUCACAAUCACCUUUAAUGUCCAUGUGUAGGCUGGGAAGAUUUGCAUGGAGCACAUUCUCAGUGAUUACAAGAUAUGUGCGGUGAGCAUGAAUGUGAAGUGAGAUGGCUUCUCUGUGUAUUUGCAGAUACAGUGGUUACAAAUGGAAACUAGACGGGUUCCUUCAGUGCUAACAUAAUCAGAAAUUUCACCUCAAUUUUUGGCAUGUUCUCCAGAAGGAAUCCACAUGGUAUUCUAGGUUGCUCAUACCUCUCUUGAACUCAGAUUCAGACAUAGCUACAAUGUUAUUAUUCAAUGUCAUAUUCCUGGACCAGGGUGAAAAAAUGCUCAUUUUUCUCUUAAUCCCAGUACAGUGCAUAGUCCACAGUUCAAAUUCUAGCAGUUUGAAAGGUGAGAUAUAAAUCCAAGCGCAGGUACUCUAGGACACUUGGGGAUGCAGGGACUGACCUAAGCUGACAGGUCAUGCUGGAUUAUCCAACUGAAUAGAGCUGAUGUAAGGGGGAGAGCUGAAUUGACAACCACUCACUAAACCUUUUUUCCCUUGCUCUGCUAGGUCUGAAAUUCUCCAGCAGAAACUCAAACAUGACACAGUCAAGACAAGAUCUCCCUUGGAGAGAAGUGCUACAGGAGGAGAACUAAGUGUGCACAGCAAAUGCACCACUAUUGCAUCUCAUCUGUAGUGUCCAUAGCAAUUGUGGACUGCAUUUUCCUCCUUUAGUUUGAUUUCUUUGGAUUGAAUACGCUGUAUUUACACCUUGCCUCUCUCCAGCAAGUGUACACUUUUUGAGGGACUCAGAGAAGUGCUGAUGCACAUCAAUCAAGAGCUGCUGGUCAUCCAGAAAGACUGUGCACGUGUAAAUUUGUACUUGUCCUGAUGGGUCAUCCAGAAGAGUUUCAUGGAGAUCAGUUCACAAUAUUGGAAAGACUUUGUGACAAAGUCUGUAAUAUCAUUUCUACUCAGUAUUGGAUGGCUUUUUCCUUAAUACCCCCACUCCAACAAAACAGACCUACUUCCACUCCUCUUGAAAAGAUUAUUACCACCAGUAACUGCUUUUCUACUAUGUCUCCAAGGCAAGCCACAGGCUAUAAGUCUAUUCUGCAAAAGGAGCAGCAAAAAAUGCUUAGUGCAAUUCCUCUAUUUAAAGUUUGGUAAAUUUUUAAUUGUUUUGGUUAUUUGGUUUUCCUUCUAUUUAUUUGAAGAUUUGUUAUUAAUCUGUUGUUAUUGUUUUGUUCAUUUGCUUUUCUAUUUUGAUAAGGAUGUAGACUGUAUAUAUUGACUACCUGCAUGUGGUUACUAUCAAGUAAAUUGGAUGUAUUCUGGUCAAUAAAGGACUAAUCUCAAACUCUUCACUCUUAAGAACCUUCUUUAUUGAUCAUUAGUGUCAACAUCUGAAGUCCCACAGCUAUCAGGGAGGGAUGGAUCUCUGCAUUCUCAUGGGGACUGGGCAUCAAAUCACUUCCCAGUCAGACUGAGAUUCACAGGCAUUUAUACAGUCACUGUGCACUGUGUUUCCAACUCUGAAUUUCAGCUUCAUCAUGCAUACAUUACCCACUGUGUAUGCUUGCUGUCAAAUAUAUAGUUACCUCUAAAUUAUACUCUGUCGAUGACAGUUUUGACCAAAUUAAUAGGAUAAACAUUAAUUUUUCUGUAAUAUCUCCCAGGACAUAUAAACAUGGUAUAAGGGAGUUUAAAGCCAUCGGGAAACCUGCACCCAAAUCGCGGGGCAGAAAAUGCUGAACACCCAGGAAUGCAGAUAAUCCUGAAACCACAGGAAAGAAAGCCACUUCUGACCAGCUCUGCCCACAUCUCUGGCCAAAUAUUAAUCUGCAUGAUGCCUCUGCAAACAGGAAUAGAGGAGCAGUCAGUGGCAGGAACCUGCUUGGUUCACCCUGGGCCCAGAACCUACCUGGCCCCUGAGCAUAUUUGAAGAAAACCA